RNAcentral lists this long non-coding RNA (4734 nucleotides) under Salmo salar (Atlantic salmon). RNAcentral describes it as "lncRNA (ENSSSAG00000092750.1)". The record is from RNAcentral. Lineage: Eukaryota; Metazoa; Chordata; Actinopteri; Salmoniformes; Salmonidae.
AUCACAUUUCCCACUUGGAAAAAACUGGUUGAAGCAAUGUUUCCACGUCAUUUCAACCCAAAACAAUCAAUGUGAUGACGUUGAAUAAACUUGGAAAACUGAUUUGGAACUUUUGUAAAAAGUUAUCAUCCUCAGGGCAUUUCAUCUUUUUUUCACCCAACUUUGAACCUAAAUGAUAAUUGUUGUUGAUUUCAUGUUAAAUUCAGGAUCAGUUGACAACUCAACCAAAUGUAAAUCAAAACUAGACAUUGAACUGAAGUCUGUGUCCAGUGGAUUAUCUCCUGUCAGUGACAUUUAGUCUACUAAAACACAAUUACAACAUUAUUCCUCUGGAUAACUGGUCCUCAGUUACCCCAUGGGUAAAUAUACAUUUUCCUCAACUGUAACAGUCACUGAAUGCAGUCUUUUCUCAUUUAGCAACACACAGUGAUAAGCAGGUUAUACAGUUCGGAAAGUAAUCAGACCCCUUUCCUUUUACCACAUUUUGUUACGUUACAGCCAUAUUCUAAAAUGGAUUAAAUGAACGAAAUCCUCAUCAAUCUACAUACAAUACCCCAUAAUGACAAAGUGAAAACAUUUUUUUUUAAUUGGAGUCCACCUGUGGUAAGUUCAAUCGAUUGUCCGGGCUCUGGCUGGGCCACUCAAGGACAUUCAAAGACUUGUCCCGAAGCCACUCUUGCGUUGUUUUGGCUGUGUGCUUAGGGUCGUUGUCCUGUUGGAAGGUGAACCUUCGCACCAGUCUAAGGUCGUGAGCGCUCUGGAGCAGGUUCAAGGAUCUCUCUGUACUUUGCUCCGUUCAUCUUUCCCUCGAUCCUGACUAGUCUCCCAGUCCCUGCCGCUGAAAAACAUCCUCACAGCAUGAUGGUGCCACCACCAUGCUUCACCAUAGGGAUGGUGCCAGCUUUCCUCCAGACGUGACACUUGGCAUUCAGGCAAAAGAGUUCAAUCUUAGUUUAAUCAGACCAGAGAAUCUUGUUUCUCAUGGUCUGAGAGUCCUUUAGGUGCCCUUUGGCAAACUUCAAGCGGAUUGUCAUGUACCUUACUGAGGAGUGGCUUCUGUCUGGCCACUCUACCAUAAAGGCCUGAAUGGUGGAGUGCUGCAGAGAUGGUUGUCUUUCUGGAAGGUUCUCCCAUCUCCACAGAGGAACUCGAUUGCUCAGUUCAGCCGUGCGGCCAGCUCUAGGAAGAGUAGGAGGAAAUGUUCUGUGUUCUUGGGGACUUUCAAUGCUGCAGGAUUUUUUUGGUGGCCUUUCACAAUCCUGCCUCGGAGCUCGACAGACAAUUCCUUCGACCUCAUGGCCUGGUUUUUGCUCUGACAUGCACUAUCAACUGUGGGACCUUGUGUGCAUUUCCAAAUCAUGUCUAAAAACAAUUUAAUUUGUGACCCGUUUCAGGAAACUAGGCGUAGCCUCAAGUCACGACUUCAUAGGAGAGCCGUUUGAACGUAAAAACAUUUUUUUUUAAUCAAAAUGUGUUUUUGGCCAGAAAUGCCUUCAACAACAUGUGAACUUUCAUGUGCCUUAAUAACAAACUUUUAUGCUAUCUGUAAAUAUGAAUAAAAUUGUUAAAUUACGAUCCUAGUUGGUUAAGCCACAGAAAAAGCCAGCAACCUUCCCGCUAGCCAUGAUUGACUGAGAUAAUGAGGGGGCAGGACAUGCCGAGAGAUGAGUUUGGAUUGGUCUGCCCCAUAUAGCACGCUUCUGUCUAUUUGAGUGUGUGUAGGGUAAUCCUGUCUAACGCAGCUUAUAAAAAAAAAAUAUGUAUUGCGUAUUAAAACUUAACAAAAGACUCCAGUAAGCAACUAUCCAUUUCAAUAGAACGUCACUGCAACAACUGUUUCGUCUGAGUGUACCAGAGUGCAGAAUAACUGAUGAAUUUAUGAACUCUCAACACUGGUUGAAUAUGGCCGGUGUCAGUAAACGUCGGCAAAAAAGCGUAAAUUAAAUUGUUGCCAGGAGCACAGUUACAGUCAUCAAUGCUCUGGAUAACAUGAAAACAGCCUAACCAACUCUGCUAGGGUGAGUAAAAUGGUCAGAGUUUGGGUGGGGGCUAAAGCUUAAGAUGAUUCUUAUAGCAUUGCACACGGUCAGUGUGAACCAGAGUGACUUGACACAACAAAUGGCCAAGCAAAUUGUACAUACAAAACGGAAACGACACAGGAAAACGACUUUAGCUAUCUAUGAUAAUCGGUUUGUAUUGCUAGUACUCUAUGGAUUGGGAUUACAGUUCAUUGUUUAGCUGGCUAGCUAGCUAGCUACAUGUCUAAACAAAAGACCCCAAGUUAAAGCUUGCUGUUAGCUAGUUAGCUGACGUUUGAUGGCUGGCUUGCUAGCUAACAUUACGUGUAUAUGAACUGUGUGUAGUGAUGUUAUCUCAAAAUGCCACUUCGUAUCUAUUGUAUAAUAAUGCUAAAAUAUUUUUAUCUGGAAUUUGUCUUUCAGCAUCAGUAGAAUAUGCCUGACUCUCCUCCACCAGUCAUACAAAGAGAAUGGUCUAAUGCCGCCCCUCAAAAAGAGAGCUGGCCCAAGCAAGCACAGGUUACACCUGAAGCAUGAGGACUUGCAGUGAGUAGUGAACUUCAUCAACAACUACGUAGAGUUGACCCCGCCCUGUGCAACUGGGUCCUGGACUUUCUGGCGGGCCACCGCCAGGUGGUGAGGGUAGGAAACAACAUCUUCACCCCGCUGAUCCUCAACACUGGGGCCCCAAAAGGGUGCGUUCUCAGCCCUUUCCUGUACUCUCUGUUCACCCAUGACUGCAUUGCCAUGCACGCUUCCAACUCAAUCAUCAAUUUUGCAGAUGACACUACAGUGGUAGGCUUGAUUACCAACAACUACAGGGAGGAGGUGAGGGCCCUCGGAGUGUGGUGUCAGGAAAAGAACCUCUCACUUAACGUCAACAAAACAAAGGAGAUGAUCGUGGACUUCAGGAAACAGCAGAGGGAGCACCUCCCCAUCCACGGGACAGUAGUGGAGAAGGUGGAAAGUUAAGUUCUUCGGUGUACACAUCACGGACAAACUGAAAUGGUCCACCCACACAGACAGUGUGGUGAAGAAGGUGCAACAGCGCCUCUUCAACCUCAGGAGACUGAAGAAAUGUGGCUUGUCAUCUAAAACACUCAAACUUUUACAGAUGCACAAUUGAGAGCAUCCUGCCGGGCUCUAUCACCGCGUGGUACAGCAAUUGCACCGCCCACAACCGCAAGGCUCUCCAGAGGGUAGUGCGGUCUGCACAACGCAUCACCGGGGGCAAAUUACCUGCCCUCCAGGAGACCUACAGCACCUGAUGUCACAGAAAGGCCAAAAAGAUCAUCAAGGACAACAACCACCUGAGCCACUGCCACAGAAGGCGAGGUGCACUAUCCUCCUGACCCUAUGCAGCUGUGACAGGUGUCAACAUCCCACAGCUGGUUGGACUGGAGGAUGAUAUGGUGCUGGUGGAAAGCUGAGGCUGGCAACAACACCUGACUCCGUACUUCAGGCCGCUGCCACAGAUCAAGCAGUACCAGCACUUCAGGAGCGUUCGAACUCAGUCGGGACCAGGUUUCAGCUGCUGCGCAAUGAUGACAUCCAUCCUCCCAUAUAUGGUCUGCCUGUACAAACACCACCAGGACUGAACACAGCUAGACAAACAUAUAUUUUUGAGAAGAUCAGGGAGUUUUGCGACGAAGAGGCUAUGGACAUCACAUGCCCUGCACCAAAGUCAAGGGCAGGACAGAAACAGGCUCUCCGAAUAUAGAUUCCCUUGUUCAUGUGUGGUUUGGACGGACCAGUCAUCAGCACUAUCUGCAAUGCCUCUAUUCAAAUGACUCUCUCCUAACACACAUGCCAUACGUUCCUGCUACUAUUUCUUGUUUUAUUCCUGCUGUUCAGCCACUUUACCACUGAUUGUAUGCAUACAAUUACCUCGUCUAUCACUGAUAUCAUUAUUCAUAUUGUUCUUGUACAUACUGUAUAUUAUUUUACUUAUAUUGACACUAUUUCUGAUAUUGCUACUAUACAAGUAACCAUUUGGCUGUACCGUUUACACCUUCUGUAGAGACCCAUCCACUUAGCAAGAUGUGGCCAGUUGUGUAAAGUACUAAAGUAAAAAUACUUAAUGUUUUGGGGAGGGUAUCUGUACUUUACCAUUUAUAUUUGUUGCAACGUUUACUUUUACUUCACUACAUUCUGAAAUAAAAUAAUGUACUUUUUACUCCAUAUAUUUCCCUGACACCUGACACCCAAAAGUACUUUACAUUUUGACAGGAAAAUUGUCCAAUUCAAACUUAUCAAGAGAAAAUCCCUGGUCAUCCCUACUGCAUCUGAUCUGGCAGACUCACUAAACACAAAUGCUUAAUUUGUAAAUUACGCCUGCGUUUUGGAGUGUGCCCCUGGCUAUCCGUCAAUAAAAAAUAAAAAUGCCGUCUGGUUUGCUUUAUAUAAUGAAUUUGAAAUGAUUUAUACUUUUGAUACUUAAGUAUCAAAAGUAAAUGGAAUCGCUAAAAUGUACUUAAGUAUUUUUUUUAAACCAAAUAUUUUUACUCAAGUAGUAUUUUACUGGGUGACUUUUACUUUUACUUGAGUCAUUUUCUAUUAAGGUAUAUUUACUUUUACUCAAGUAUGACAAUUUUGUUAUUUUUCCACCACUGGAUGUGGCUCGGGUUAUAGCAUUUCUUUCACAUGACCCAUCAAUUUAGACAAGUGUGUCUGGGUAAGCGUCAUCUAAUAUUUAUUAAAUAUUUUUAUCGCAACA